CUUGUUGCAUUUAAUAUAAGGAAACAUUACAACCUGAAGAAAGUGCGUCAGCAUAAACUAGAUCAAGCAAAACAAAAGGAGAAAAUAGGAUGCAAUUAUGGGCUGACAUCAAGUAAUGGCCCGAGACGGAGUUGCGGGCCUUCGCAGCCCAGUCGGCUACAAGGUUUGCUUCACGUCUGCAGUGAAGUAAUUUUAGGUUAGAAAACCUGGAGAGCAGAGCAGUGGCUUCGUCAAACAGAGGGCGAAGAGUCCAUGGCGGCUGACGCGUUCGUUGCAAUGAUUCGAUAAGAAGAAGACAAUCAGAUUCAACCUCCAGAGAAGCAUUGUGGAGUCUUUGCGUGAGUAGAUGCUAAAGAGUGUGUAGGUCAGCGCCAACACCUCCGCUUCAAAAGCAGAUCGCGCCUAGACUCGGCCGGAAAACAGAUCCGUAAGUCUUCCCUUCGAAUCUCUACUGAUACAGGCAAUGGACCCUUCGUCACUACCAUAACUGGCAUCAAUAUUGCAUUUGAGGAUACCCAAUUUCGGAGGGCGCCAGAGGUGCGAUGGGUGCAGAGAGGAAGAAACAGGGCUCGAUCGCAGUGCUGCAGAGUGGAGCCGAGAAGACUUUGUUUGAGCCACCGCUGUAAACACUGCAUAGGAAGCAUCGGGUUGCUGAUUCCGAAAAGUGAAAUUGUUCCUCAUCCGCCAUAUCUGCCAAAGGGUGUUAGCAAUCAGGGAAAGACCGGGUGAGUUCUAAGGGAUAAGUGCUGAAGAAUGCUCGGCUAAGGGCUUCUAAAGCUGCUGCACAGGUAGAACUGGAGGUUCUCGGUGGUUUUGAGCAGCAUUGGAAGUACCAUCUGCUGGAAUUAUAGAUGGUGGGGGCAAUAAGGGAAUAUUCAGUAUCCGUCCAAGCGGGGUUUCAGCUGCAGUAUAGACAAUGUCUUUGCAAUUCAUCGCAUAAUGCCCAAGUUUGCCACGGGAAUAACAGAAGUGUGAGAGGCGUUCAUACCGGAAAUCAAGCCAAAAAGGCGAGGGAUUAUCGUCACAAUUCUCAAUUUGCUGUUCAGUGGUUAAGCGUCCCAAGCUAGAGCAAAGAGCAGCCAGGCGCGAGGUAUCGGGAGGGUCGUUCGUAGCCAUCCAGGAGAAAAGUAAUACUAAAAUCAAAGGAACUCAACCUUCAAAAAUCUAAUACCCAUAACAGAAUGCGGAAAUAGCCCCUUGACUAACAACAAGUCCCCCUCUGCAGUGACUAAAGAAGUCAAAAUGGAGGCAUGCAGAAACGAACCAGAGUGAAUCGGUUGAUGAUUGAAUGGGCCCGCCUGCCAUGGAAGUCCGACAGAAUGAAAUCCAUCCAAAAGUAAGCCGAUGAUGUCAUAAUUGUUGAAGGAAACAGGGAUGCCAGUAUCGAUUUAAAGAACGUAGAAAGUGGAAGAAAAGUUGGGCGAAAACAGGGAUAUCGAGCGAAAGGGUAAAAGAUGCCACCUAAUUUUAGGGUUCAAUUGCAGGAAAGCCAUGAAAAUGCCAGCGAAGGAAGGAGAAUCGGUGGAAUUGAAAAGGAAAGAAACAGGAAUUGGGGUUUUGAGAACUACCAAGAGCGGUAGAGAGAGCUCGACAAAACGAGAGGGUUCUAACCGAUGUUAGGAACUUGCAUGCCCUCUUGACUCUUGAGGGAGACAAUUUCGCAGGCGAUUUAUAGACUUUUUAAGGUAUGAAAAAGAAAGAGUUAACUUAAAAUUCCAAGUCAAUGAUUUCA
Molecule: long non-coding RNA, 1732 nt
Organism: Eucalyptus grandis
Lineage: Eukaryota; Viridiplantae; Streptophyta; Magnoliopsida; Myrtales; Myrtaceae
Exons: 4
Source: RefSeq, a predicted model, not a curated record